UGCAAGUGACGUGCGACUAUUGCAAUUGCUAAGAAUAAAUAUAAGUAAUACAUCGUGAGAAAAAUGAAGUACUUGCUGAUUUUUGCAUUCGUCGUUACUCUGACUGUUGCAUUACCUACCGGUGAACAAGUGGACCCUGGUGCUGCUGACCCAACCUCGGUUACAGAACCCAUUGUAGACACCCAUGCUGCUUUGAAUAAUGAGCCUGUUGUUCUUGAGCCUGCUUUCGCAGAUCAACCGGAAGAAAUGAAACAAAAUGCGCAAAAUAUCUUUAACAUCAAAUCUAUUUUGAUGUUAAAUAAGUUUUGAGAUAGUAGGAGAGGGGAGGCUUGACGGGGCAGUAAGGGAUAUUGACGAUAAAAAAAUAAAAAUAUCAUUGUGAUUUAGUAGUCGUAAGUUAUAUAAUAAGGAUCCUAUAUUCAAUAUAUUCAGUGUAUUCUCGGA
Molecule: long non-coding RNA, 444 nt
Organism: Spodoptera litura
Lineage: Eukaryota; Metazoa; Arthropoda; Insecta; Lepidoptera; Noctuidae
Source: RefSeq, a predicted model, not a curated record